CACGCGUGCGUAUGUACUUCAGGGAUCAUCGUCGAUUGCUAGUAGGUGAUUACCGUGGUCGAAUCUACAGUUGGUCUGUCCCAGAAGCACAUGGCAAGGUAGCUGAUCACUGGGUGCCUGAUGAUGUGGCUGACUUUUGCUCAGCAUCCCAGGUCAAGUUUAGUCUAACUGAGCGAAGGCACCACUGCCGCAACUGUGGCAAAGUCUUCUGUGGAAAGUGCAGCAAGUUUGAAUCGGAGAUCCCAGAGAGGGGUAUUCAACGCUUGGUACGCGUCUGCGAGGCGUGUUACAUCAUCCUGAAGGGAAACCUUGCUAUGCCCAUUUACUAAUCACUCAGGAUCAAGCAAGUGAAAAGUGGUCGUCUUCUAGCAUCGUGCCUGACAUUGUCACUCACUCUCCCCCGACAUCAGCCUGACAUUGUCACUCACUCUCCCCCGACAUCAGCCUGACAUUGUCACUCACUCUCCCCCGACAUCAGCCUGACAUUGUCACUCACUCU
Long non-coding RNA from Sycon ciliatum, 499 nucleotides. RefSeq lists it as uncharacterized. The record is from RefSeq and is a predicted model, not a curated record. The transcript is spliced from 3 exons. Lineage: Eukaryota; Metazoa; Porifera; Calcarea; Leucosolenida; Sycettidae.